RNAcentral lists this long non-coding RNA (5437 nucleotides) under Sus scrofa (pig). RNAcentral describes it as "lncRNA (ENSSSCG00000061632.1)". Lineage: Eukaryota; Metazoa; Chordata; Mammalia; Artiodactyla; Suidae. The record is from RNAcentral.
GCCUUAAAAAAGGGGUUGCAUGGUUGAAAAAAUGUGGGACCUAUUGCAUUUAACAGAGUUAAGCAGGAUUUCUUCCUCCUGUUUCUUCUGUAGUCAUUAAAUCUGAUGUUACUUGCAUUUUGAUGUGGCCCAGGUGGGCAGGAGACAUAGAGAUGAGUAUUUCCUUUUAGCCAUUUUAGGUAGAUACUCCUUCAGUUCAAAGUGAAUGAAUACCUCUCUCUCUUCCCCUCCACUUAUAAUGUAAAGUUAUACUUUAACCUUGUUCAGCAUGGUAGAGACAGGCCUGGCUUCACGUUUGGACUCAGUCAUUUCCUAUCGCUGUGGCAAUCCAUAACCCAAAGACUCAUCUAAGCUUUGCUUUUCUCACCUGCAAAAAGGGAAGGAUAAAUCCCAUCCCAUAGAAUUGUUGUGAGGACUGAGAAUUAGCAUGACAAGCAACAAGUGAGAACUCAAUAAAUGUUAGUUAUUUCCUCUCCUUCAGAGUUGAAAAUGAUAGUAAUACUAACAGCAAUAACAAUAAUAGCUAAUACCUACACCAUGCAAACCACUGUGCUAGGUUAACUCAUAUUACAUGUUUCCCCAUUUAAUCUUUACUACAUACAACCAUAAGAAGUAAAAGUCAUUAUUAACUUCAUUUUACAGAUGAGGAAAACAGGCAUGGGGAGCAAUUUACUAAGUGGCCAAUCUAGGAUUCCGGCUUCAUUUUUGAGGGCUGGUUGGGGUUACUGGGAUGUGUACUGGAAACACUACAACACACAUGACAUGGGCCCUUGUAAAUAUUAUGUUGGAAAUGGCUUAAUUUUGCUUUUUCUCUGAUAAUAGUUGAUCUGGAUGUAAAAUUGUAAGUUGAUUGUUAUUUUGUUUUCCAUCAGCAGUUUUUUAAGAUUUGUCUCCAUAGCUGUGUGACUUAUCUUACUGCUGAUUAAAUGUUUCACUGUAACCAGUUACAGGUGUAGGUAAUCUCUGUUUUUAUUGUGGUUGCUCAUUAUUCUUUAUGUUCUGCAGUUGUAUUCUGGUGAAUAUUUAUCCUUGCACUUGGUCACUAGCACUCAAAACCAUAACUUUAAAUUUUAGAACAAUUUUCUAUUUACAGAAUUAUUGAGAAGAUAAUAUAGAGUUCCCAUAAAUGCCACACCCAGUUUACCCUAUGAGUAGCUUAUAUUUUUACUGUUCAUUUGUCCACAGUAAUGAACCGAUAUUGAUACAUUAUCAGCAUUAGCUAAAGGCCAUACUUUAUUCAGAUCUUCUCAAAUUUUCUUCUAAUGUCCCUUUUUCUCCAUCCCAGGAUAUAAUAUUACAUUUAGUCAAAUGUCUCCUUAGAUUUCUUUUGGUUGUGGCAGUCUCCCAGACUCAUCUCUCUUUUUUUUUUUUUUUUUUUUUCAGCCAUGCACACAGCAUGUGGAAGUCCCUGGGCCAGGGAUUGAACCUGGGCCACAACAGUGACCCAAGCCACUGCAGUGACAAUGCUGGAUUCUUAACCAAUUGCACACAAGGGAACUCCCAUUUCCAAGAUUUCUAAUCAGUUAUUUUUUUCUCUUCCUGUUGCUAUUUCAUUCAUGAGUCAGAUCCACUAGCCAGCUGGUAGCUUGGUUAAAGUCCUAGUCUUUAGGCUGUGUCUGUCUUUACAUAUUUCCUUAACCUCCGAAAGUGGGUCAGCAAUUUUUUUAAAAGUACACAUUACAUAAAAUGGUAGUGAAGAGCUUGUCUCAGCCCUGGGUUUUAAGCAGUGACCCAGUGUUCCCCAGACUUAAUCAUUUUUACACCCAGAAACUGAAUUUCAACAAUCAUUUCACUGUGUUGGUUGGAAACCCCAAUAUAUUUAUUCUUACGGUUUUUUUAAAAAAAUCACACCAAAAGCUACAAAUUUCUUUUCUGCAGUAGUAAUAUAAAGCUUUGUUUUGUUUUGUUUUUCUUUCUUGGCCACCCCUUGGCAUAUAGAUCCUUGGCCAUGGAUCAGAUCCACAGUUGUGACUUAUGCCACAGCUUAGGUUAAUCCACUGUGCCAGCUCUGGGAUCAAAUCUACAUCCCAGAGCUGCAGAGAUGCCACUGAUACCAUUGCACCACAGUAGGAAUGCCUAUAAAGGUUUCUUUUAAAAUAUAUUCAUUUAUUAAAAUAAAUCAUUUAGAGAAAAGUACAAAGUAAAUAAUAGUGCAGAAUAAAAUAAAAAUGACUGAAGUUUAAGUGACCUAGCACUGAGUUGUACUGAGAGUCUGCAGUUCAAAGGCUUUUGGCAGAAUAGGUUCUAAAAGCUAGAUCUCCUUUUGGGGUGGGGGACGUGCAUAACCUGCAGCAUGUGGAAGUUCCCAGACUGAGGAUUCGAUCCCUGCCACAGCAGCGACAAUGCCAGAUAAUUAACUGCUAGGCCACCAGGGAACUCCUAGAAACUGGAUCUCCUAAUAAUCCAAGUCCUUACACUGGGCAUUAUCUACACAGUAAUCUGGGCAGAUUUUCCAGUGUAGCUGAUGAAUGUCUGUCACCAUUUCGCAGUAGGACAUAAGUUUGGAGGGGUCACAUGUCGAGUGACGCUGAGGUAAUGAAUAUGGAAGCUACUGGUUGGUGGGACAUGAAAAUUAGAGCUUUCUCAGAGGCCUGCUUGAAGGGACCCAGCAAUUCACGUGGACUAGUCAAGGACAGCCAUGCCACAUGGUGAGGAGGUCAUGGUACUGAUGCUUGGUGUUAAGGAUGGGGAAUCCUGGAUCCCCUUCCUGGCACAACGUCUGAAUCUGAGGUUUGGGGAUAAAUGACUUGUCUGCUCCAGAGGUGACUCACUGCAUUUUGGAAAUUCUCAGUUACAGCCUGCACUUUAAGAAAAAUUAUUAUUAUCAUCUCUGACUAAUAACUAGCAAACUCAAAGUGAGAAAUAACUCAGUGGAGAUGAAGAGAAAGUUCCUUUUUAAAUCUUCAUAUUGAACUACAAUGUACAAUAAGGUAAAAGCAGAAAAAUGUAGAUAACAUAUCUUAGAAUAUUAACUAGGUAAUUAUGCCAAUUAACAUUUAAUUUUAUCUAUGCCCAUCACAUUUUUCUAUAAUAGCAUCAUAGGUAACAGUUAUUGCUAUAGACUUCUGAAAGUUAAUUAAAAUCACUGAGACAGAACCAACAAAAGUCUAUUCUUUAAGAAAAAAAAAUGAAGUUUAAAUAAUCAAUUUUCCACUCUGAAAAUUUACUCCAAAUGGAAACUUUGAGAGCCAGAGACAGCUUUUUUCUUUCCUGUCAACUGCCUUAUCAUGAGACUCUCCUUGCUAAACUUCCCCUGGUGCUCACUGAGGCAGAGUCUACGUACAAGGCCAUGAUAGGGUGGGUGCUGUCACCGUGUCCCCCACACUUCUGAUUCCUGGUUCCUCACUUAAUGCAAAGGACCACCUGCCAUGAAAUGGACUUCCUCCUGGCUCUCCAAACUCAGCAAUGGCAGCUCAGGUGAGUUCUGGGUUUCCAUUCCAUCUGGAGUCCUGGAUGGAGGGUCAAGCAGAGGUGAAAAACUAAAAUGCGCAGGUUGAAAUUUCCUCAUGGUUCGCUUCUAAAGGGGGCUAUGGAUCCCAGGGAGCAGUCUGCACUAUGCCUGCACACCAAAGCUGCUCUGAUGAUGGGGCGGCCCUAUCAAGAGUCUGGGAACCAGGGCUUGGGAUGGAUGGGAAACCUUGUCUGUAGGGGCCUGGCAUAUCCUGGGGUGUCUUCUAGACUGCCAGCUCUGCGCUUGAGGCUAAACUUUUGUUUCUAUCUCCUUUAUAAAAACCAAGCCAGUAUAAUUCAGGGCCCAUCUUCUCGCCUUCCAGAGUCACAUAACCACUUUUUGUUCAGGUUAUCUGUGAAGUAAUUCUCAGAGCAUUUUGAUGGAAAAGAAAGUUUAGCCACUGCUAAACGCAGACUCCGUCAUUUCUUUCUUUCUUUUUUCUUUUUCAGCCACCCCGUGGCAUAUGGAGUUCCUGGGCCAGGGAUCAGAUCCAAGCCACAGCUGGAGCAACACCAGAUCCUCAACACCAGAUCCACUGUGCUGGGCCAGGGAUCCAACCUGUGUCUGUCCCAUUGCUCCAGAGAUGCCACCGAUCCUGUUGCACUGCAGCAGGAACUCCAGCCUCCUUUAUUUCUGAGUAGGCUGCAGAAAGGCAUAUUUCUCCUUUCUUGAUUGGGCUCAAUAAUCUUUGCUCAGAAAACUAAAGUGACAAAUCUAUACAGAACUUGUGUUUACAGGUCUGCAACUACAUUAGCUAAACUUCUUAUCCAUCUUUAAGUAAGUGCCCAGGAUCCACUAAUUCUACCAAUUGGCUGUGAUAGCAGAUGUUUGGAAUAUGUUUCCUUUGUCUUCUAUUGAAUAUCAAUCAGUCAAUUGAUUGAUCUGUCAGUAUUUAUUGGCCAUCUCUCACAGCCAUGCCACUGUAUUAGAGAGGUGUACUGAGCUAUGAAGAACAUGGCUAAGUCUGGAAAACCUUUGAGUGUUUUGCCUUAUCUGAUCCCCACUGCCAUACCUGUGACUGCUUCCCCUUCCUGGGACCCAAGAGCGAACAUUUUUGAACAUUUUGAAUGUCUGAUAAUACUUACCUUGAUCUUCUUGCAUUCUUUUUCUUUGUGCACUUGCCCUGCCUCUUUCCAGGACCACUGGUUCCAAGAGACAGAGAUAAUGUCUAAUUCAUUUUUCAUUCCCUGUAAUCUCUGGCACAGGACCUAGCAUCCACUAGGUCUCAAAAAUAUUUAGUGUAUUAUUUUAUCAGCCCUAGCCCCUAAUUACAACAUGCGAUAUUUGUAAAACCAUCAGGUAUAAUUCACACCUGGCAUUUCUGAUUAUUUUGGAACGACGACUAAAAAAUUGACUUCUUUCUUUGCACAUCCAUUUUUUGAUUCAUGUGAGUGUUUUAAAACAACCCAAAUAAGCCAACCUACUUUCGAUCAACUUAUGUUUGAUUUUUUAAAAAUUAUAUAAACUAGUUUCAUUUUUAUAGCCCAAACUAAAAUACAUCAUUAAAAUUAAAGUAAUUCUACAGGAGUCCCAUUAGUGUAUUUAAAGCCAAAUGUUGAUAAUAAUGGUAUUUACUUACUGAAAUUUAGCAGUAUUCAUUCAGAACCAACAUGUAGCCUUAACUGCCUUAGACCAAAGAAUACAAGUUGCCUUAAGUUUCUGUACUCUAAUUAGGUAGAAAAAUAAUUUCUUUUCCUCUUAUUAACUGUCUCCUUUCCAUUAUAUUCCAUAUCAUUUUAAGCAGAACAUCCUUUUGAAAGAGUUAAUGGAAUCCUAAGGUCUUACCUGAAGGUCAAAAAAGGAUAAAUCACUGUUACUUAUAAAAGAAAAAAAAAAAGAGAGAGCCCAGUAGUUGCAACACUGUGAAGUCUAUCUUGUAAGCAUAACUCCUAUAUAUAUCUGAAAAUUGAUUUCUUUCAUCCAUUUGCCAAUGCCUUGGCAUGAGCAAGGCAACAGGAUUCAAUCAGAAAGAUUUCAUGGAGAAUG